UGCAGUGUGGCAUAAUGGUUUGAAUGUUGGGACUAUGACUCUGAAGAACAGGGUUUGAAUCCCUGCUCAGCCA
Phrynosoma platyrhinos (Desert horned lizard) is the source of this 73-nucleotide non-coding RNA. NCBI's taxonomy places the organism in Eukaryota, Metazoa, Chordata, Lepidosauria, Squamata, Phrynosomatidae. The record is from the annotation of a GenBank genome assembly.